This 878-nucleotide long non-coding RNA is filed under the name Triticum aestivum (bread wheat). RNAcentral describes it as "long non-coding RNA (TAES_LNC023881)". The record is from RNAcentral. Lineage: Eukaryota; Viridiplantae; Streptophyta; Magnoliopsida; Poales; Poaceae.
UUAAGCUGGGAAGAAAGAAUCAAAUAAAUGGUCUCAUUCAUAGCAAGAACAAGAGAGUAAGUACAUGAUCACCAACACAAAGAAUGGCACGCCGGCGCACGUACUGGACACCUCCCACACCACCGCGACCCAUACAUACACACACGCACGCGCCCAGACCUCACACCCCAACAAGAACACACGCACACACACCAAGACGACGAGCAAACCAAGCCGGACAGACGGAGAAGGGUCAUCUCAUCUCAUCACACGCCACCGGGACGGAUCUAGCAGAAGAGGUAGCCGAAGGCGGCGGCGGCGAAGGAGGCCGCGGCGAGGGGCACGGCGGCCGCGGCGUCGGAGGCGGGCGCCGGGGCCGGGGCCUCGGCGGCGGCCGCGGAGGCGACGAGCGCGGCGGCCAUGGCGGCGACGGCGACGAACUUCAUCCUGAGACCGGCCAUUGGCGACUUGACUUGGUUCCUGGUGCUGGGAGAGGAGGCCGGAGGGGGUCUCGCUGCUGCUUAUUCGGCUGUGAGAUCUCUCUAGGGGGGAGCUAGAGAGAUGCUGCACGCGGAUGAGCGAGAGGCUUGAGAGUGGCGGCUUGGGAGGUGGGAGGGAGAGGCGUGCGGGGGUGGCGGGUUAUAUAGCGGCGGAGCGGGGAGGGGAGGGGAGGGGAAGGAUGGAUGGCCAGGUCGGUCGCGUAGGGUUGUGGGAGAAGGGAGAGGAGUACGGCUGGCCGUCUGUUGGGUUGGGCUCCGGGCGUGCCGCGUUUGGUGGCCGGUUGGGCUGGCGUUCGUUACCGUUGCGGCCGGGAUCCUCUCUGACCGCGCCCGUUGGAGCGCGUCUCCGGGUCUCUGUGUGUGUGUGUGUGUGUGUGGUGGUUCGGCAUUCAUCAACGU